This 253-nucleotide ribosomal RNA is filed under the name uncultured bacterium. RNAcentral describes it as "partial 16S ribosomal RNA". It matches the Rfam family "Bacterial small subunit ribosomal RNA", at positions 524 to 776 of the family's 1533-position model. The record is from RNAcentral.
UACGUAGGGUGCGAGCGUUAAUCGGAAUUACUGGGCGUAAAGCGUGCGCAGGCGGUUCGUUAAGUUCGUUGUGAAAGCCCCGGGCUCAACCUGGGAACUGCAAUGGAAACUGGCGGGCUUGAAUGCGGCAGAGGGGGGUGGAAUUCCGCGUGUAGCAGUGAAAUGCGUAGAUAUGCGGAGGAACACCGAUGGCGAAGGCAAUCCCCUGGACCUGUACUGACGCUCAUGCACGAAAGCGUGGGGAGCAAACAGG